RNAcentral lists this long non-coding RNA (1370 nucleotides) under Felis catus (domestic cat). Its description in RNAcentral is "lncRNA (ENSFCAG00000052773.1)". Lineage: Eukaryota; Metazoa; Chordata; Mammalia; Carnivora; Felidae. The record is from RNAcentral.
CGACUGAGCCACCCAGGUGCCAGCCCUCUUCCCCCUCCUGCUUUUUUAACAGAGAAAGAACACCAGCAGGGGAGAGGGGCAGAGGGAGAGAGAGUGAGUCUUAAGCAGGCUUUACUCUCAGCAUGGAGCCUGACGUGGAUCCCAAGAACUGAGUCAAAAUCAAGAGUCAACUGACUGAGCUACCCAGGCGCCCUCUGGUGUAAUUAUUAUUUUUAAAGUAUAUUUAUUAUUCUUGAGAGAGAGAGAGUACAUCAGCCAGGGAGGGGCACAGAGAGAGAGGGAGGCACAAUCCAAAGCAGGCCCUGAGCUGUCAGCCCAGAGUCCCACGCAGGGCUCAAAUCCACAAACUGUGAGGUCAUGACCUGACCUUAAGUUGGACGCUUAACCGACUGAGCUACCCAGGCACCCCUCUGGUGGAAUUAUUAAUAGCAUUCCUUUCCAGUCUCAGAAGUAAGAAGUAUCCCCAUUGUGACAAUAAAUCGUACGGUCCCUGAAAUUCUAGGACAGAUUACAUUUGGUCCAGUAUUAGUUCCUACUCUCUGAAUUCCCUCCCUGGUCAUUUGGACUGGAAGCAGUCAGACUAACUUACCUACGGGACCCCUCAACUGUGUAACCCUGGAAUCCCUUUCUUUUUCUUUUUUUAAGAUUUUUUUUUUUUUUAAAGGAAUCUCUCUACACCCAGCGUGGACCUCUCAAAAUUCCAAGAUCAGAGUUGCACGCGCCACCGACUGAGCCAGCCAGACGCCCCCAACCCUGGAAUCCCUUUCUUACCACAGUCCAUUCUUUUUCAGCUUCAUCCACCACUAAACAGCAACAGUGACUACAACCUCCUUAUUUCCUUCUCAUCUCCAACCUCACUCAGGAGACCCUGCGAUUUCAGUAAGCAUGUUUUAUUUUAUUUUUUAAUUUUUUUAAUAUUUAUUUAUUUUGGGGAGUGAGAGAGACAGAGUAUGAGAGGGGGAGGGGUAGAGAGAGACAGAGGGAGACACAGAAUCUGAGGCAGGCUCCAGGCCCUGAGCUGCCAGCACAGAGCCUGACACAGGGGCAGGCUCGAACCCACAUAGCGCGAGACCAGGACCUGAGCCAAAGUUGGAGGCUUAACCGACUGCGCCACCCAGGCGCCCCAGUAACCAUGUUUUAAAACUUGCCUUGCGGGGCGCCUGGGUGGCGCAGUCGGUUAAGCGUCCGACUUCAGCCAGGCCACGAUCUCGCGGUCCGUGAGUUCGAGCCCCGCAUCGGGCUCUGGGCUGAUGGCUUGGAGCCUGUUUCCGAUUCUGUGUCUCCCUCUCUCUCUGCCCCUCCCCCGUUCAUGCUCUGUCUCUCUCUGUCCCAAAAAUAAAUAAACGUUGAAAAAAAAAAUUAAAAAAAAA